AAAAAAAAAAAAAAAAGAGCCUUUUAUAACCCAUAAAACCAACAUAUCACAUUCCCUCAACACAGCUUAAAUUAACCAAAUAUCCCACUCGAAUUGCAUAUAAAAAAACAUUCAAGGGGAUCAGAAAUGCAACUAUACCAUCAGGCACAAUAACAUUAAUAAGAUAUCCAACACAUGUGAAACACACUGCAACACGUACACGUUGAAAGGAAAAUAUUCAAUCAUGUAUGAAUUAACUCAAAACCUUGUAUCCUCUUUAGAUCAGAAAUCAUGGCUUGAGGCCUGAGUACUUCCUGCCUGUGCAAACCCUUGUUUCCCAAUAAUAAACUUUCUCCUAUCGUGUACCACGCAGAUAGAAAUCAUUGCCUCUUGCUCUGGUGUAGUCACCA
This 389-nucleotide unclassified non-coding RNA is filed under the name Hevea brasiliensis (rubber tree). Lineage: Eukaryota; Viridiplantae; Streptophyta; Magnoliopsida; Malpighiales; Euphorbiaceae. The record is from RNAcentral.